CAAAUCCCGAUGUACAGGAAGGAGGCAUCUUCUUUCUGUGAAACAUCCUUUCGGGGAUGGGGCGCGGAUGGACCUGCGGUGCAUUAGUUGGUUGGCGGGGUAAAGGCCCACCAAGACGAUGAUGCAUAGCCGGCCUGAGAGGGCGGACGGCCACAUUGGGACUGAGACACGGCCCAGACUCCUGCGGGAGGCAGCAGUAGGGAAUUUUCGUCAAUGGGCGCAAGCCUGAACGAGCGAUGCCGCGUGAGUGAAGAAGGCCUUCGGGUCGUAAAGCUCUGUUGCGGGGGGAAAAAGGCAGCAUCAGGAAAUGGGUGCUGACUGAUGGUGCCCCGCCAGAAAGUCACGGCUAACUACGUGCCAGCAGCCGCGGUAAUACGUAGGUGGCGAGCGUUAUCCGGAAUGAUUGGGCGUAAAGGGUGCGCAGGCGGUCCUGCAAGUCUGGAGUGAAACGCAUGAGCUCAACUCAUGCAUGGGUUUGGAAACUGGAGGACUGGAGAGCAGGAGAGGGCGGUGGAACUCCAUGUGUAGCGGUAAAAUGCGUAGAUAUUAUGGAAGAACAC
This 560-nucleotide ribosomal RNA is filed under the name uncultured bacterium. RNAcentral's name for it is "bacterial SSU rRNA". It matches the Rfam family "Bacterial small subunit ribosomal RNA", at positions 164 to 709 of the family's 1533-position model. The record is from RNAcentral.